Molecule: long non-coding RNA, 298 nt
Filed under: Chinchilla lanigera (long-tailed chinchilla)
Lineage: Eukaryota; Metazoa; Chordata; Mammalia; Rodentia; Chinchillidae
Description: lncRNA (ENSCLAG00000026946.1)
Source: RNAcentral
CUUGCCACUUGCCAAAGACUGAAAAUAGACUCAAGUCUAUCACCAUGCACCAAACGCAAGUCAAAAUGGAUCACAGAUCUCAAUAUUUAAACAGAAACAGUAAAUCUAUUGGAAGAGAAAGUAGGUAAAAAUCUUGAAGACAUAGGGGUAGUCAGAGAGUUCAUGAAUAAAAACCAAACCGCAUGUGAGAUACUUCAAAGAAUCAACAACUGGGAUCGCAUCUUACUGAUUUGUCAAUUUUCAAGAGGACCUUGGCACAAAUAUUUGUUCCUUAUACUUAAGCACAUGAAUAUUCCAU